AGCCGCCUACGGGAGGCAGCAGUGAGGAAUAUUGGUCAAUGGUCGGGAGACUGAACCAGCCAAGCCGCGUGAGGGAGGAAGGUACAGAGUAUCGUAAACCUCUUUUGUCAGGGAACAAAGGCGGGGACGUGUCCCCGGAUGAGUGUACCUGAAGAAAAAGCAUCGGCUAACUCCGUGCCAGCAGCCGCGGUAAUAAGGAGGAUGCGAGCGUUAUCCGGAUUUAUUGGGUUUAAAGGGUGCGCAGGCGGGCUGUUAAGUCAGCGGUGAAAGCCCGGGGCUCAACCCCGGCCCGCCGUUGAAAAUGG
Molecule: ribosomal RNA, 305 nt
Filed under: uncultured bacterium
Lineage: Bacteria
Description: bacterial SSU rRNA
Rfam family: Bacterial small subunit ribosomal RNA
Source: RNAcentral